CGAAUGCUUGUUCGAGAAACUGUUGCUUGUAAAUGCAGUGUGCUAAAAUAGUUUGGGCGGGUUCAAUUAGGCUUCUGAACCUUUAGCAGGUUUAGUGAGGAAUUUUCUAUUUGAUAGUCUCUUGCAGCUCGUAUUUACCAUUUAUUCUGAUAACCAAUUUGAUGCAAGUAAACUGAUUGUUUUUUUCUUCAUCUGAUACACAUACAGUAAACUGUUCGUUUUGCGAUUCAUUCUGCACACCACAAUGCGACUCGAUGAUCCUGCCGUCUGCUGCUUGCAUCGAGCGCGCUGUGAAUCCACUGCUCGUUCGUCCCAUCCGUCGGUUUCUGAUGAGAUUCUCAUGCCGUCGGUUUCUGAUCUACAUCUGUAGCUCGGCAUCUGCGUCAACCAGUUCCUCUCCAUUUUUGCCUCCAAGAACUCCGACAUUUUUGCCUGCAAGUUACGGACUUGUCUACUUACCUUAUGUAUUUAAGGGUCUUCUGGGAUGUGCAGGAAUAGGGCAUUCGCGUUCUUGUUCGCCGAUGGCUCCAGCGAGGAACUGAGCUCGCUGCAGGCGGAGGAACUGGCUGGGCCGGUGCCCUUCGUCAUGGCUGGCGUCAGCUAGGUCCAGCCGCCCUGGAUAGAAAGGUCAAAUUCAACCUUGAAGUAGUAAGCAAAUUCGAAAAAAAUGGAGAAUUAGAGCAGAAGAAAGCUUUGGAAUAGAAUUAGUACAAAAGAAAAUUGAGAAUUCUCUGUUCCUUUUUGUUCUGCAUGUCAACAAGUUGCUAAGAAAAACUCUUGGAUGAAAACUUGUACGUGAUGUGUUGGAAGAAACACUUUGUAUUUGAUGUAAUACUGGAUGAAAAGUUAUUGUAUUUGAUGUAAUACUGGAUGAAAGUUAUUGUAUUUGAUGUGAUGCCAGUUCUGUUUA
Panicum virgatum (switchgrass) is the source of this 910-nucleotide long non-coding RNA. RefSeq lists it as uncharacterized. The transcript is spliced from 3 exons. The record is from RefSeq and is a predicted model, not a curated record. Lineage: Eukaryota; Viridiplantae; Streptophyta; Magnoliopsida; Poales; Poaceae.